This is a long non-coding RNA of Gossypium raimondii (Peruvian cotton), 309 nucleotides long. RefSeq lists it as uncharacterized. The transcript is spliced from 2 exons. The record is from RefSeq and is a predicted model, not a curated record. NCBI's taxonomy places the organism in Eukaryota, Viridiplantae, Streptophyta, Magnoliopsida, Malvales, Malvaceae.
CUAAAAACGAAGCGAACAUCUUGAAGGAGAAAGACGAAAAAAAGGAGUAAAGCAAUUAAAACUUCGGUAAUUAGAUUCGUUAGAUCGUUCCAACAGCAUCCGAAGAACCGAAGUUCAGCUAAAACAAUGUUGGUGAAAAGCUUACUUUAUAGUUGAUGUAAAUGGUAUGUACCUAGGCUUAUAUAUAUAUAUAUAUAUAUAAUAUUAUAUCGUAAACUGAAUUUAAAUAUUUUUAUUAUGUUUUCUUAGCUAGUACUUUAUAACUAAUGUUUUGAUAAAAUAGUAAAGUGUAGAAAUCUAGUUUAUUGA